Molecule: ribosomal RNA, 523 nt
Filed under: uncultured bacterium
Lineage: Bacteria
Description: bacterial SSU rRNA
Rfam family: Bacterial small subunit ribosomal RNA
Source: RNAcentral
AGAGUUUGAUCAUGGCUCAGAUUGAACGCUGGCGGAAUGCUUUACACAUGCAAGUCGAACGGCAGCAUAGGUGCUUGCACCUGAUGGCGAGUGGCGAACGGGUGAGUAAUACAUCGGAACGUGCCCAGUCGUGGGGGAUAACGUAGCGAAAGUUACGCUAAUACCGCAUACGAUCUACGGAUGAAAGCGGGGGACCGUAAGGCCUCGCGCGAUUGGAGCGGCCGAUGUUAGAUUAGGUAGUUGGUGGGGUAAAGGCUCACCAAGCCGACGAUCUAUAGCUGGUCUGAGAGGAUGAUCAGCCACACUGGGACUGAGACACGGCCCAGACUCCUACGGGAGGCAGCAGUGGGGAAUUUUGGACAAUGGGCGCAAGCCUGAUCCAGCCAUUCCGCGUGCAGGAUGAAGGCCUUCGGGUUGUAAACUGCUUUUGUACGGAACGAAAAGGCUCUGGUUAAUACCUGGGGCUCAUGACGGUACCGUAAGAAUAAGCACCGGCUAACUACGUGCCAGCAGCCGCGGUAAU